AGGGAUGGAGGCCUUCGGGUUGUGAACCUCUUUCGCCAGUGAAGCAGGCCUGCUCCUGUGUGGGUGGGUUGACGGUAGCUGGAUAAGAAGCGCCGGCUAACUACGUGCCAGCAGCCGCGGUAAUACGUAGGGCGCGAGCGUUGUCCGGAAUUAUUGGGCGUAAAGAGCUCGUAGGCGGCUGGUCGCGUCUGUCGUGAAAUCCUCUGGCUUAACUGGGGGCUUGCGGUGGGUACGGGCCGGCUUGAGUGCGGUAGGGGAGGCUGGAACUCCUGGUGUAGCGGUGGAAUGCGCAGAUAUCAGGAAGAACACCGGUGGCGAAGGCGGGUCUCUGGGCCGUUACUGACGCUGAGGAGCGAAAGCGUGGGGAGCGAACAGGAUUAGAUACCCUGGUAGUCCACGCCGUAAACGUUGGGCACUAGGUGUGGGGGGCCUUUUCGGGUUCUUCCGCGCCGUAGCUAACGCAUUAAGUGCCCCGCCUGG
This 480-nucleotide ribosomal RNA is filed under the name Actinomyces oris. RNAcentral describes it as "bacterial SSU rRNA". It matches the Rfam family "Bacterial small subunit ribosomal RNA", at positions 404 to 876 of the family's 1533-position model. The record is from RNAcentral. Lineage: Bacteria; Bacillati; Actinomycetota; Actinomycetes; Actinomycetales; Actinomycetaceae. RNAcentral also lists the same sequence under 1 other name.